This 402-nucleotide ribosomal RNA is filed under the name bacterium. RNAcentral describes it as "partial 16S ribosomal RNA". It matches the Rfam family "Bacterial small subunit ribosomal RNA", at positions 355 to 776 of the family's 1533-position model. The record is from RNAcentral.
UGGGGAAUUUUGCACAAUGGGGGAAACCCUGAUGCAGCGACGCCGCGUGAUUUAGAAGGCCUUCGGGUUGUAAAAAUCUUUUCUAUGGGAAGGAAAUGACAGUACCAUAGGAAUAAGGACCGGCUAAUUACGUGCCAGCAGCCGCGGUAAUACGUAAGGUCCGAGCGUUGUCCGGAAUCAUUGGGCGUAAAGGGUACGUAGGCGGGUAAGCAAGUUAGAAGUGAAAUCCUAUAGCUCAACUAUAGUAAGCUUUUAAAACUGCUCAUCUUGAGGUAUGGAAGGGAAAGUGGAAUUCCUAGUGUAGCGGUGAAAUGCGCAGAUAUUAGGAGGAAUACCGGUGGCGAAGGCGACUUUCUGGCCAUAACCUGACGCUGAGGUACGAAAGCGUGGGUAGCAAACAGG